GACGAACGCUGGCGGCGUGCUUAACACAUGCAAGUCGAACGAAAAGGCCCUGCUUUUGUGCGUCGCUCGAGUGGCGAACGGGUGUGUAACACGUGAGUAACCUGCCCCUUACUUUCGGAUAACUUCACGAAACUGGGGCUAAUACCGGAUAGGAUCUCCUGCUGCACGGUGGGUGAUGGAAAAUGUCGGCGGUUGGGGAUGGACUCGCGGCUUAUCUGCUUGUUGGUGGGGUAGGGGCUUACCAAGGCUUUGACGGGUAGCCGGCCUGAGAGGGUGACCGGCCACAUUGGGACUGAGAUACGGACCAGACUCCUACGGGAGGCAGCAGUGGGGAGUAUUACACAAUGGGCGGAAGCCUGAUGCGGCAACGCCGCGUGCGGGAAGACGGCCUUCGGGUUGUGAACCAAUGUCGCCUGUGACGAAGCGUGAGUGACGGUACUGGAUAAAGAAGCACCGGCUAACUACGUG
This 468-nucleotide ribosomal RNA is filed under the name uncultured bacterium. RNAcentral's name for it is "partial 16S ribosomal RNA". It matches the Rfam family "Bacterial small subunit ribosomal RNA", at positions 28 to 507 of the family's 1533-position model. The record is from RNAcentral.